CGGCGGACGGGUGAGUAAUGUAUGGGGAGUCUGCCCGAUAGAGGGGGAGUAACUACUGGAAACGGUGGCUAAUACCGCAUAAUGUCUACGGACCAAAGCAGGGGCUCUUCGGACCUUGCACUAUCGGAUGAACCCUUAUGGGAUUAGCUAGUAGGUGGGGUAACGGCUCACCUAGGCGACGAUCCCUAGCUGGUCUGAGAGGAUGACCAGCCACACUGGAACUGAGACACGGUCCAGACUCCUACGGGAGGCAGCAUG
This 258-nucleotide ribosomal RNA is filed under the name uncultured bacterium. RNAcentral's name for it is "partial 16S ribosomal RNA". It matches the Rfam family "Bacterial small subunit ribosomal RNA", at positions 96 to 353 of the family's 1533-position model. The record is from RNAcentral.